RNAcentral lists this ribosomal RNA (858 nucleotides) under Massilia suwonensis. RNAcentral describes it as "bacterial SSU rRNA". It matches the Rfam family "Bacterial small subunit ribosomal RNA", at positions 143 to 997 of the family's 1533-position model. The record is from RNAcentral. Lineage: Bacteria; Pseudomonadati; Pseudomonadota; Betaproteobacteria; Burkholderiales; Oxalobacteraceae.
AUAACGUAGCGAAAGUUACGCUAAUACCGCAUACGAUCUAAGGAUGAAAGUGGGGGAUCGCAAGACCUCAUGCUCCUGGAGCGGCCGAUAUCUGAUUAGCUAGUUGGUGAGGUAAAGGCUCACCAAGGCGACGAUCAGUAGCUGGUCUGAGAGGACGACCAGCCACACUGGAACUGAGACACGGUCCAGACUCCUACGGGAGGCAGCAGUGGGGAAUUUUGGACAAUGGGCGCAAGCCUGAUCCAGCAAUGCCGCGUGAGUGAAGAAGGCCUUCGGGUUGUAAAGCUCUUUUGUCAGGGAAGAAACGGUAGAGGCUAAUAUCCUUUGCUAAUGACGGUACCUGAAGAAUAAGCACCGGCUAACUACGUGCCAGCAGCCGCGGUAAUACGUAGGGUGCAAGCGUUAAUCGGAAUUACUGGGCGUAAAGCGUGCGCAGGCGGUUUUGUAAGUCUGUCGUGAAAGCCCCGGGCUCAACCUGGGAAUUGCGAUGGAGACUGCAAGGCUUGAAUCUGGCAGAGGGGGGUAGAAUUCCACGUGUAGCAGUGAAAUGCGUAGAGAUGUGGAGGAACACCGAUGGCGAAGGCAGCCCCCUGGGUCAAGAUUGACGCUCAUGCACGAAAGCGUGGGGAGCAAACAGGAUUAGAUACCCUGGUAGUCCACGCCCUAAACGAUGUCUACUAGUUGUCGGGUUUUAAUUAACUUGGUAACGCAGCUAACGCGUGAAGUAGACCGCCUGGGGAGUACGGUCGCAAGAUUAAAACUCAAAGGAAUUGACGGGGACCCGCACAAGCGGUGGAUGAUGUGGAUUAAUUCGAUGCAACGCGAAAAACCUUACCUACCCUUGACAUGUCAGGAAGU